This 389-nucleotide ribosomal RNA is filed under the name uncultured bacterium. RNAcentral describes it as "partial 16S ribosomal RNA". It matches the Rfam family "Bacterial small subunit ribosomal RNA", at positions 526 to 918 of the family's 1533-position model. The record is from RNAcentral.
CGGAGGAUCCGAGCGUUAUCCGGAUUUAUUGGGUUUAACGGGUGCGCAGGCGGCCAUUUAAGUCAGCGGUUAAAUCGUGGGGCUCAACCCCAUUCUGCCGUUGAUACUGGGUGGCUUGAUUGCGGUCGAGGUUGGCGGACUUCGUUGUGUAGCGGUGAAAUGCAUAGAUAUGACGAAGAACACCGAUUGCGUAGGCAGCUGACCAGACCGCAAAUGACGCUCAUGCACGAAAGUGCGGGGAUCGAACAGGAUUAGAUACCCUGGUAGUCCGCACAGUAAACGAUGAAUACUUGUUUUCGGCGAUAUAAUGUCGGAGGCAAAGCGAAAGCGAUAAGUAUUCCACCUGGGGAGUACGCCGGCAACGGUGAAACUCAAAGGAAUUGACGGGG